Molecule: ribosomal RNA, 710 nt
Filed under: uncultured Fusobacteriota bacterium
Lineage: Bacteria; Fusobacteriati; Fusobacteriota
Description: bacterial SSU rRNA
Rfam family: Bacterial small subunit ribosomal RNA
Source: RNAcentral
CGCUGACAGAAUGCUUAACACAUGCAAGUCUAUGGUGAAGUAAGUGCUUGCACUAAUGGAGCCAUGGCGGACGGGUGAGUAACGCGUAAAGAACUUACCUUAUGGACUGGGAUAACAGUUGGAAACGACUGAUAAGACUGGAUAUAAUUAUAUAUUUGCAUGAAUGUAUAAUGAAAAGAGAUGCCAUAAGAGAGCUUUGCGUCCUAUUAGCUAGUUGGUGAGGUAAAGGCUCACCAAGGCGAUGAUAGGUAGCCGGCCUGAGAGGGUGAACGGCCACAAGGGGACUGAGAUACGGCCCUUACUCUUACGGGAGGCAGCAGUGGGGAAUAUUGGACAAUGGAGGGAACUCUGAUCCAGCAAUUCUGUGUGCACGAAGAAGGUUUUCGGAUUGUAAAGUGCUUUCAGUUGGGAAGAAGGAAGUGACGGUACCAACAGAAGAAGCGACGGCUAAAUACGUGCCAGCAGCCGCGGUAAUACGUAUGUCGCGAGCGUUAUCCGGAAUUAUUGGGCAUAAAGGGCAUCUAGGCGGUUAUGCAAGUCAGGGGUGAAAACUUACGGCUCAACCGUGAGCUUGCCUUUGAAACUGUAUGACUAGAGUACUGGAGAGGUGGGCGGAACUACACGAGUAGAGGUGAAAUUCGUAGAUAUGUGUAGGAAUGCCGAUGAUGAAGAUAGCUCACUGGACAGAAACUGACGCUGAAGUGCGAAAG